GUGCUCACUUCGGCAGCACGUAUACUAAAAUUGGACCGAUAUAGAGAAGAUUAGCACGGCCCCUACACAAGGAUGACACACAAAUUGGUGAAGCGUUCCAUAUUAAC
Small nuclear RNA from Otolemur garnettii (small-eared galago), 107 nucleotides. The record is from Ensembl. Lineage: Eukaryota; Metazoa; Chordata; Mammalia; Primates; Galagidae.